UCCGAAUUGGUGUAGUGGUUAACAUCUGACGUUUUCACUUAUCUAGGUGAUAAGAAAUCCGUCGAGCCCGGGGUUCGAUUCCCCGAUUCGGAG
This is a non-coding RNA of Xylaria bambusicola, 93 nucleotides long. The record is from the annotation of a RefSeq genome assembly. NCBI's taxonomy places the organism in Eukaryota, Fungi, Ascomycota, Sordariomycetes, Xylariales, Xylariaceae.